AGGGAACUGAUUACUCAACCAAGGUGACUAAUGAUUUGUAAGCAGCGCAGUUUGGAAAGUGAUGUGUGUGCUCUCAUUCCACCCUAUUUAAGAGGGAGACAAACUCUGAGUUGUGCAUCUACUCUUUCUGCUUCUGAGAAGAGCAUUGUUUUAACCCUUUACAAUGCAGACCUUCCAGCUUGACACUGAGCGCCUCUGCCAGGCAGCUAAGCUGUACCAGCACACCAAGUCUGACUUUGGCCUGAAUGGCAUGAUCCAGCUUUCUGGUUCAUGUAAUAAUAUGUCACUAUCUGUACUGGGAUCGAUUGGAGGCUGUGCUAUUCUGAGAUUGGAAUUGUUGGAGGCUGCCCGGCUCCAUUCAUCUAAAGACAGCUCCAAGUCUGCCAUUUACAGCUUUCGUAACGCAAGCUCCCUUGGAAGAGAAUUUACUCAUGGUGGAGAACUCUUUGGCCCCAAAAUGGAAUCUGCCUCCCUGUCUUUUUAUGGCCAUCAUGGAGUGAAAUAUGUGGAGGCACAAUUUGUGCAUGACAGCAGCAGCAAGACUGUACAUACUGCUGCUAUGCAGCCCAUCACCAUACCACCUUCGUGUGCCUUUGAUGAUCGUGAGGCCAAUGGUAUAGUGACAUUGUCAACAAAAACUGCAGCGGCGCUGGUCAAGUGGUUGAAGCAGCAUACAAAAACCUGCCAGUCACCAGUUAAGGUUUCUAUCAGUGAAAUCUUGGGUGUGAUGGUUCUUUCAGUUGGAGAUGCUAGCAUGACUGUUGAUGUCACUCCGGUGAAUGUUUCAUCUGGCAAGAAGACACGGGGUGGGAAUAAGGCUAGUGACUCUGGGACUAUCUCUGCAGACGCAACGGUGCAUGUUAAUGGACAUUGUUUGAUUAGAUCUUUGAUUGUAUGUAAAGUUCCUGGGUGUACAACUCCAAGAGUCAAGUUUCACGCCUGUGGCAUAUUAGAGGUAGAUGGGGCCCCCGUUAAACAGGGCGAGUUGACACAGGUAAAAUUGUCAGUGGCCCUCCUGAACGUGGACUCUUCAACUGGCAGAGUUUUGAAGGAACCUGUGGUGACUGGAGCAAGUAAAGAUCGAGGGGCUUCAAAGUCAGAAGACGCGGACGGUAGCCCUCCAGUACCAGAUCAUCCCAAAGAAUCCCUCACUAGCGACUCUGAUUCCUCAGUUCCUGGGCCACGAAGUACUGACCUUUCCUCUCUUACCCACACCCCUUCAGAUAGAUUUUCGAGCGACCUUAGAUCAGGGUGUGGGGGGCAACAGUUCCUCAAGAGACCACCCCCUAAGAAAGACAGGGAACCCACCACUAAGCGCCCCAAGCUACAUUUUAACCACUUCCCAUAAAUGAAGAGUCAUUGGUCAGACGUGUUCCUCCCACUCAUUGUGGGAGGAAUGUCUGCUGUUCCCUUUAUCUGGUGUUUAAUUUUUAGAACCCUUUACCUACCAAUAGAAUGUGACUGGAGAUGCUGGAUUUUUGUAUAUGGAUCAAUGAUUUGGCACAUAACCAUGUUUAUGUCACUAUUGUUUAAACAUAAACAUGGGAUGAUUGGCUGGUUUAAGUUGUGUAGUGCAGUUGCCAUAUGUCUGAUUAUAGUUUUGGCUCUUUUAGAACAAUACUGCCCAUAUGAGAUGUACAUUGUUCCUGUUAUAUUCAUAAUAAAUAUAGUUUUGCUUUCCA
Molecule: non-coding RNA, 1682 nt
Filed under: synthetic construct
Source: RNAcentral